This 460-nucleotide ribosomal RNA is filed under the name uncultured bacterium. RNAcentral's name for it is "partial 16S ribosomal RNA". It matches the Rfam family "Bacterial small subunit ribosomal RNA", at positions 338 to 795 of the family's 1533-position model. The record is from RNAcentral.
CCUACGGGAGGCAGCAGUGAGGAAUAUUGGGCAAUGGGCGCUAGCCUGAACCAGCCAAGUAGCGUGAAGGAUGACUGCCCUAUGGGUUGUAAACUUCUUUUAUAUGGGAAUGAAGUGCAGGAUGUAUACUGCUUUGCAUGUACCUUAUGAAUAAGGAGCGGCUAACUCCGUGCAAGCAGCCGCGGUAAUACGGGGGUUGCGAGCGUUUUCCGGAUUUAUUGGGUGUAAAGGGAGCGUAGGCGGGUUGUUAAGUCAGUUGUGAAAGUCUGCGGCUCAACCGUAAAAUUGCAGUUGAUACUGGCAUCCUUGAGUACAGUAGAGGUAGGCGGAAUUCGUGGUGUAGCGGUGAAAUGCUUAGAUAUCACGAAGAACUCCGAUUGCGAAGGCAGACUGCUGGACUGUAACUGACGCUGAUGCUCGAAAGUGUGGGUAUCAAACAGGAUUAGAUACCCCAGUAGUC